GUGUGUGCACGUAAGUAUCGCCCAAACUCUAUAAAUUACAUUACUUCAGCUUUGUGGACUUGGGCGUGUGUAACGGGAAGGGAAGGGAAGGGUGGGGAAGGGAAGAAAAGGGAAGGAGCUGGGUGGGAAAGGAAGGAAAGGUAAGGAGAGUGUUGGAAGGGAGAGAAAAGAAGGGUAAGGAAAGGGUAAGGAAGGGAUGGGAAGGAAAGGUAAGGAGCUGGGAGGGAAAGGAAGGAAAGGUAAAGAGAGUGUUGGAAGGGAGAGAAAAGAUGGGUAAGGAGAGAGUAAGGAAGGGACGGGAAGGAAAAGGAAAGAAAAUGGAGGGGAAGAGAAAAGAGGAGUAAAUGUUUGCUAAAGUUUGGUAAGAUUAAGUUAAGGCAAGGUAAGAUAAUGUAAGGUAAGGUAAGGAAAGAGAAGAAAAGGCAAGGUAAGGAAAGAUAACGUAAGGUAAGGUAAGGAAAGAGAAGAAAAGGCAAGGUAAGGUAAGAUAACGUAAGGUAAGGUAAGGAAAGAGAAGAAAAGGCAAGUUAAAAAAGAAGGAAAGGUUGGUCAGGAUGUGCGAAGGGUCAAGUCAAUCGGCAAGCCAAUAAAUCAAGCCCUGGCACAUUAAGGCGAGGUAAGGUAAGGUAAGGUAAAGUAAGGCAACAUGAAAAGCAAGUAAAGGUAGGUCAGUAAGGAAAGGACGAGACAAGGACGUUCUAGAAAUGAGAAAGGAUGGGCAAGGAAAGAGGAAUAAUGAAAAAAAGGUCGGAAAGGAAAGGGAGGUAAUGAAAAAGACUGGAAAAGAAAAGGGAAUAAUGAAAGAGGGUGGGAAAGGAAAGGUAAGGUCAGUAAGUGCGAAGGGAUAGUGAGUCAAGCCAAGUCAAGCCCAGACACAUAGGGCGAGGUAAGAGAAGGUAAAUUAAGGUAAGGCAAGAUGAAAAGGAAGUAAAGGUAGGUCAGUAAGUGCGAAGGGAUAGCGAGUCAAGCCAAGUCAAACUCAGGUACACAAGGCGAGGUAAGGUAGAGGAGGGAAGGGAACAAUAAACUCGAGCUAUUCCGGGCGUGUAAAAAGUUUGCACGCCAUCACAUUGAACGCAGCGAUCGCUUUCUUCGGCGCGGCUCGCUAUCAUUACGAGGCCAACCCCUUGCAUUACCCCGCCACUCGAAGACCUCAUCACGCCGACGCUUUUUGCUCCCUGACUUAUUAGCAUUCCGGGCCCGACACCUCCUUGCCCUGCCCUGCCAUGCCCGCCUCUCGUCUGCAAUGCUCGCUUCUUCUUUCUCCUAUCCUUCGUUCCUUUCCUUCGUUAUCUUUUUUUAGGUUCUUCUCUCUCUCUCUCUCUCUCUCUCUCUCUCUCUCUCUCUCUCUCUCUCUCUCUCUCUCUCUCUCUCUCUCUCUCUCAUUUCCUUUCUUUCUCCUUUACUCAAUAUUAUUUUCUCCUCUCCUAUCCUCCGUUCCUUCCUUCCCCUUUUUUUGAUUCUUUCUCUUCUGCUUCUGCUUCUUCCAUUCCCACCAAUUCUCCUUCUCUCUCUAAUCUUGCAGUGUCUUUCUCUCCCUCGUUCUCCAAUUCCCUUUCCUUUCCUUUCCUCUUUCUUUUCCGGAACCUUUCUCUAUAAUCUUGUACUUCUGUCUUUCUCUCCUAUUUCCUUCCUCUCUCUCUCUCUCUCUCUCUCUCUCUCUCUCUCUCUCUCUCUCUCUCU
Molecule: long non-coding RNA, 1683 nt
Organism: Eriocheir sinensis (Chinese mitten crab)
Lineage: Eukaryota; Metazoa; Arthropoda; Malacostraca; Decapoda; Varunidae
Exons: 3
Source: RefSeq, a predicted model, not a curated record